UGGUUAUAUUUUCAUUUUCAUAUCAGUGAAAAUAUUUUUGUGUUUUCCUUUGGAUGUUUUAUUUGACUUGGGUUAUAUAAUUUAAUGUUAAUUUCCAAAUGUUCAUGUAUUUUCUGGAGAUCUUGCUGUCAUUGAUUAGCAAUUUGAUUCUGCCGAGUCUUACUUAUCACUAGAAUCGUUUUAAACUUAUUGAAACUUUUUUAAUGAUCCAGAAUAUGUCCUAUCUUUUUGAAAAGAAUGCUUACUCUGCUCUUGUUGAGUGGACUAUUCUAUAAAUGUCACUUAGUUCAAGUUGCUUCAUAAUAUUAUCAAGUCUUCUAUGCACUUAGUAAAAUUAUUUCUACUUGUAAAAUUAUUUCUGCUUGUUCUAUCAGUUAUGAAAAGAGAGGUGUUAAGGUUUAGAUGUGGUAUCCCCCAAACGCUCAUGUGUGAGACAAUGCAAGAAGGUUUGGAGGAGAAAUGAUUGGGCUAUAGAUUUAACCUAAUCAGUUAAUUGAUCCCUGAUUGGAUUAACUAGUGACUGAAGGCACUGGAAGAAGUGGUUCAUUGGGGGCAUUUAUACUUUUUGUAUCUGGAGAGUGGAGUUUUUCUCUCUCUGCUUCCUGGUGGUGUGAGCUGGUUCUCUCUGCUACACUGCUAUCUAUGGAUUGAGACCUUUGAAACCGUGAGCCCUUAAAUACACCUUUCCUCCUCUAUAAUUGUUCUGGUUGGGUCUAUAAGUCACAGCAGUGAAAACGCCAACUAAAACAAGAAGUGUUAAAGUUCAACUAUAAUUGUGGGUUUCUCUGUUAUCUAUAUAAUUCUAUCAGAUUUUGCUUUAUCAGUUUCAAAGACUUAUUAUUAGGUUUGUGAACAUUUAGUAUUGUUAUGUUCUCUUGAAUCCAACACUUUGUUAUUAUGAAGUGAUCCAGUUUUAUCCCUGCUAAUAUUCCAUGUUCAGAAGUCUUCUUUUUGUGAUAAUAUAACUUUCCUUUUAUUAGUAUUAGUAUGGUAUAUCUGUUUCCUUCUUUUAGGCUUUUUGUGUCUGUAUAGUUAAUUUAGUUUUUUCAAAGCAGCAUACAGUGGGGUCCUGCUUUUACUUUUUUAUUUGACAAUCUUUGCCUGUAACUGGGACCAUUUAAACAAUAUCAGUUAAUUAUGAUUAUGAUGAUUCAUAUUGUUGGAUUUAGAUCUAUCAUCUUGUUGUUUGUCUUAUAUUUGAGACUUCUCUUGUAUUCUUUUUGCCUUCCUUCG
Molecule: long non-coding RNA, 1233 nt
Filed under: Marmota monax (woodchuck)
Lineage: Eukaryota; Metazoa; Chordata; Mammalia; Rodentia; Sciuridae
Source: RNAcentral